This 421-nucleotide ribosomal RNA is filed under the name uncultured bacterium. RNAcentral describes it as "bacterial SSU rRNA". It matches the Rfam family "Bacterial small subunit ribosomal RNA", at positions 356 to 774 of the family's 1533-position model. The record is from RNAcentral.
GAGGAAUAUUGGACAAUGGAUGGAAAUCUGAUCUAGCCAUGCCGCGUGCAGGAAGACGGCCCUAUGGGUUGUAAACUGCUUUUGUAUGGGAGCAAUAAGGACUACGUGUAGUUUGAUGAGAGUACCAUACGAAUAAGCAUCGGCUAACUCCGUGCCAGCAGCCGCGGUAAUACGGAGGAUGCGAGCGUUAUCCGGAUUUAUUGGGUUUAAAGGGUGCGUAGGCGGCGAUAUAAGUCAGUGGUGAAAUAUUUCGGCUUAACCGAGAGACUGCCAUUGAUACUGUGUUGCUAGAAUAUGGUUGCUGUGAGUGGAAUGUGUGGUGUAGCGGUGAAAUGCUUAGAUAUCACACAGAAUAUCGAUUGCGAAGGCAGCUCACAAAGCCAUUAUUGACGCUGAGGCACGAAAGUGUGGGGAUCAAACA